GAUGAACGCUAGCGGCAGGCUUAACACAUGCAAGUCGAGGGGUAGAGGAAGCUUGCUUCCUUGAGACCGGCGCACGGGUGCGUAACGCGUAUACAAUCUACCUUUUACAGAGGGAUAGCCCAGAGAAAUUUGGAUUAAUACCUCAUAGUAUUUUCGGAUCGCAUGAUUUGAUUAUUAAAGUUCCAACGGUAAAAGAUGAGUAUGCGUCCCAUUAGCUAGAUGGUAAGGUAACGGCUUACCAUGGCAAUGAUGGGUAGGGGUCCUGAGAGGGAGAUCCCCCACACUGGUACUGAGACACGGACCAGACUCCUACGGGAGGCAGCAGUGAGGAAUACUGGGACAAUGGGCGCAAGCCUGAUCCAGCCAUGCCGCGUGCAGGAAUAAAGGUCCUAUGGAUUGUAAACUGCUUUAUACAGGAAGAACACAACCCUCGUGAGGGUACUUGACGGUACUGUAUG
RNAcentral lists this ribosomal RNA (458 nucleotides) under uncultured bacterium. Its description in RNAcentral is "bacterial SSU rRNA". It matches the Rfam family "Bacterial small subunit ribosomal RNA", at positions 28 to 484 of the family's 1533-position model. The record is from RNAcentral.